UGACCUUAAAAAAAAACCACUAGGGUAUUAUUUUCUUUGUCCAAAGCAACUCUGAGACCUCUCCUCUGAUGAAGCCCCUACCGAAUCAAGGUCUGUAUAGCUGUCUCCUUUGGGUUUUCACCUCUGCCACAGACAAACCAAAUCAGCCAACAAACCACACCUUUGUCACCAGUGAGGGCGUCAUCUCUCCAGAAUCGUAUUUGAUCAGAAGCGUUCACCUGUGAGCUAAAUGAGCCUUGGAUCCGGAACACAGAUCACGGUCAUGCUGGAGGUUGUAAAGCUGCCGUCAGGAGAAGGGAAGGAGGGGCUGGCUGGCCUGCUGUGUGGCAUGUUGUGGAUUUCAUGGCUUCAUCAUCAUCCCGUUGGUCCCAAAGAAGAUUAGCAAGCUGAUAAACACUCAUCUACACCAGGGUGUUACGGGAUGUCUUUCUGGAUGUUGUGAAUAUGUGGGGCUCCCAUUGGAUAAUAAAUAAAGCUGUUUUGGCCUGUGGCAAAAAAGCUUACAGCCAGGUGGGAAAUCUAAACAGACACAGAGAGAGAAGGGCAGAGUGGGGAGAGACACAAGCCCACCGCAAAAGGAGCAACAAGAUGCCACAGCCA
Non-coding RNA from Peromyscus maniculatus bairdii (prairie deer mouse), 600 nucleotides. The record is from RefSeq and is a predicted model, not a curated record. Lineage: Eukaryota; Metazoa; Chordata; Mammalia; Rodentia; Cricetidae.